This is an RNA transcript of Peromyscus eremicus (cactus mouse), 2438 nucleotides long. It is a transcript of the gene named CCDC163 homolog, with no coding region annotated. The record is from RefSeq and is a predicted model, not a curated record. The transcript has 11 exons. Lineage: Eukaryota; Metazoa; Chordata; Mammalia; Rodentia; Cricetidae.
ACGUGUCUGUUUCUCUACCUUUUUCAAGCCCCAUUUCACAUCACGACCCGGAGACUGGGUUAUUAGAUGGCCGCGGUAGGAGCUUGGGUUGCAUAAGAAGGGCUCACCGGGCCUCACACUUUUGGCGCCAAGGCCCAUCAUACAGCUGGCCCUAGAACCACAGGGAAGACAAACCAACCUGGAAAGGGUAAACCUCGAAGCCAAAAGGACACAAAGUGUCCUCAAUCUUCUGCUUCAGGUCUGCGACACGCGGCUCCAUAGCGCACGUUGAACGCUGAGCUUGCUGGGAAAUGGAGUCUUAUAGUUAACUUGGGCUUUUAGGCGUUAAGACGAGCUGGACUACAUUUCCCAGGAGGUAAAGGACAAGUUAACAGCUUCGAUUGACUCUGCGCGAUGCAUCUUGGUACAAGUAGUUCGUUUGGUCCUUGGAGCCCAAACAUAACAGAGUCUGUAUGACUCCGUGUCCCGACAAGCUUCACGGGGAGGUGUGUGUAUGAACGCCCGGGGGCGCUUCCAGGGAGACGUAUUUCCGCCCUCUAUUGCCUGUUGUCUUCGCCAGAAGCGGACUCAGUUUCCCGAGUGGCGCUGCGGCACCCGCUCUUAAAUCUUAUUCUCCGCCUACUAGAGUUUGAACUCACGGGCGGUAGUAGUGGCUGAUACAGACUUGACGUGGAGAUUGUGCUAGCGUCCUUGAUUUGGGGAGGUUUCAACCAAGAUUCGGCUCAUUCUACUCUCACUUGAUAUCUGUGUUUUAGAGUAUUCUACUUUUUCCCACUUCCCCAAGAAUUCCGUUCCCUAGUUCCAGAUUCGCAGUUUUGCUGUGGUACUGUAUCUGUAGCCUUAAUAUCCCACUCCCACUUUCCUCUCUCCAUCUAACACUGUGGACUGUCCUGGGCUUUACCGCUGGUAUCUUGGUGUGGGAGAGCAAGAGCAGGAAAAGUCAGAGACGCCGUCCUCAGUCCUCCAGGAUGAAUAGGAGCCCUAGCUGGUCUGAUCAACUGCAUGCAGUUCUCAAUUCAACUGAUGAAAAUAUGGCCCGGAUUAAGCAGAAUUUGUAUCCUCUUCGAGUUUCCUCUACAGACAGACCCUGCUCUUGUCCCUUCCUUAUUUCUUCAAUAGGGGACCUGGCUGACACCUGGAUUUCCCCUCAUCAUUUGCCUCCACAGCCAGGGGCCCAAGCUCAUCAGCCUUGGGCUCUAAAGACUCCUGUUCUUGGAGAGAGACUGAGCUGCACUGAAUCUCACAGCUCAUCUUCUCUCUGGAAUGAAGUUACUAAGCUCCGAUCCCAGCUUCAGUCUCAGGCUCAGGUGACUGCGGCGCUAAGGGGUGCUGUGCAGAGCCUGUUAAAGGAUCGGGAGCAGCAGAUGAAGAAGAUCAGUGCUCUAGAAGCAUCACUAAAAUUGCUUCAGGAGGGCCCAAAAGGGAGAGCCCUUCUGGAGCAACGCCUGGAAGGGUUGAGAAAGGAACUGCAGGGCCUUCGGAACCAGGUUCAAGAGCUAGUCCAAAUCCAAACGAGAACAAGACCAGGGAAGUUCAGUGGUACCAAUGGCUUUCACCAAGAGCUGCGGACUGAGCACCAGCUUUUGUGGGAAGAGUCAGAGAUUCUUCGGGAGGAACUGAAGUUGCUUCGAGACCAGCUGAGCCAACAUCAGGAGUUGUUGCUGGAACAGAUAGCUGAAGGGCGCCAGGUUCAAGCCCGCAGCUGGAAGACGUUGGAACACCUACAGAGUGACCAGAAGGGCAAGUUUCAGACCUUGGAGGUUACCAGGACAGAGGCCCCUGAUGCCCAGAAGGAGGAGCCCUACUUCCUCAGGACGUCUGUUCAUGCCUGGCAAUCUAAGCUGCCUAUGGCCAACAUCUUCGCCAUGUCUCUUUCUUCAUCUAGCUCUGAAGUCAGUCUUCCAGACUGUGACCGCAGCUGGGAACUUUUAAAGAAACUAGACAGGGAACUCCAGAACUCCUUUUCUAACCUGGAACCCAGCAGCUCUCAGUCCCAUGCCCAGAGUCUUGGGCAAGAGGAUCUGUUCUUUCAAGGCUCCAAGAUCUUCCAGAGUGAGCUGUAAGGACUUGUAAGAAGAAUGAGAUGAAUCCAUCAAGGCAGUCUUCUCAUCCCCUCUGGACCCCCUAAAGAUGCCUUCACCCUUAGACAACAGGAAGUAAAUUUAAGAACAUAAUGCCCACAUUCCCAAGAGAGGUAGUGGGUGGUUUUUGUUGGUUCAAUGGGUUAUGGAUAUUUGUCAUUGUUUAUGGUGGUUGAUUACAAGUUGUUAUUGGUAAUGGUCAGGAAAAAAGUUGUAUGAAGGAGAUUAGAUUCAGGGUUCUUGUUUUGAAAAGAAAAAAAGAGGAUAUAGAUAUGAUAAGGUAGAUUAAUGAAUCUAACCUGAAAAAAAUAGAUAUAGAAAUGAUAGGAUAGAUAAAAGGGUAGAUUGUUGAAUCUA